GUUGGAUAGUUGUGGAAAGUU
RNAcentral lists this unclassified non-coding RNA (21 nucleotides) under synthetic construct. The record is from RNAcentral.